RNAcentral lists this ribosomal RNA (101 nucleotides) under Halobacteriovoraceae bacterium. RNAcentral describes it as "partial 23S ribosomal RNA". It matches the Rfam family "Bacterial large subunit ribosomal RNA", at positions 2833 to 2925 of the family's 2925-position model. Lineage: Bacteria; Pseudomonadati; Bdellovibrionota; Bacteriovoracia; Bacteriovoracales; Halobacteriovoraceae. The record is from RNAcentral.
AGUGGUUGAAGACUACGACCUUGAUAGGCUGGAUGUGUAAGCACGGUAACGUGUUAAGCUGACCAGUACUAAAUACUCGUUUUGCUUUAUAUAUUUAAAAA